CAGACAGACAGACAGAUUGACAAACGUUCAUUUUAUUAUUGGAUAUUAAUCAUUUAAAUACUAAAUAAUAAUAAUAAUAAGUAGGUAUGUAGUGAAAAAACAGCCACAUUGCACUGGAGGACGACGUCAACACGCAAACGGCCGACGUAAUUGCGGGACCAAUUUCGCGCGGAUGCCCAAAUCUACGUGACACUCAAUGUGUUAAAGGAAAUUAAAAACUAUUACAAUUUACAAUGUAUUCAAAAUAUAUUAAUCAUGCAAAUAUACGAACCUCCAAAGGAAGAUAUAUAUGAUUAUGUUUCUCUCCAACAUGAAGACAUGGUGGAGAAAAAAAUGACUUGCCAACUGAUGUGUAAGUCAUUGAUGCAAGAUGUCGCAUGACAACAUCUAAGGCCUAGGUACAUAAAAAAUAUUGGAAAUCAAACUAAAUAAUAAACAAUAAGUCAUAAAUUAUUAAUAAAAGUAAGUAGAAUAAGAUGAAUUAACCAAAACAGCAUCAUAUGGUAUUGGUCUUCUGCUGCCUUGUAAUGCUUCUUCCAAAUCAAAUAAUGAUAUUUGAGCUAACCAUUUAAUAUAAACAUGGAACACUCCAUCUUUACAUUGACCGGGCAAUUUAACCUGAAACGCAAUGGAUCUCUUGUAUAUAAGUUUUGGCGACCAUCAAAUGCAGGACGAAGAUUACCAAAAAGUUUACUGUACGCAUUA
This is a long non-coding RNA of Acyrthosiphon pisum (pea aphid), 705 nucleotides long. RefSeq lists it as uncharacterized. NCBI's taxonomy places the organism in Eukaryota, Metazoa, Arthropoda, Insecta, Hemiptera, Aphididae. The transcript has 3 exons. The record is from RefSeq and is a predicted model, not a curated record.